This 468-nucleotide ribosomal RNA is filed under the name uncultured bacterium. Its description in RNAcentral is "partial 16S ribosomal RNA". It matches the Rfam family "Bacterial small subunit ribosomal RNA", at positions 28 to 507 of the family's 1533-position model. The record is from RNAcentral.
GACGAACGCUGGCGGCGUGCUUAACACAUGCAAGUCGAACGGAAAGGCCCUGCUUUUGUGGGGUGCUCGAGUGGCGAACGGGUGAGUAACACGUGAGUAACCUGCCCUUGACUUUGGGAUAACUUCAGGAAACUGGGUCUAAUACCGGAUAGGAGCUCCUGCUGCAUGGUGGGGGUUGGAAAGUUUCGGCGGUUGGGGAUGGACUCGCGGCUUAUCAGCUUGUUGGUGGGGUAGUGGCUUACCAAGGCUUUGACGGGUAGCCGGACUGAGAGGGUGACCGGCCACAUUGGGACUGAGAUACGGCGCAGACUCCUACGGGAGGCAGCAGUGGGGAAUAUUGCACAAUGGGCGGAAGCCUGAUGAAGCAACGCCGCGUGCGGGAUGACGGCCUUCGGGUUGUAAACCGCUUUCGCCUGUGACGAAGCGUGAGUGACGGUAAUGGGUAAAGAAGCACCGGCUAACUACGUG